GACGAACGCUGGCGGCGUGCUUAACACAUGCAAGUCGAACGGAAAGGCCCUGCUUGCAGGGUGCUCGAGUGGCGAACGGGUGAGUAACACGUGGGUGAUCUGCCCCUUAUUUUGGGAUAAGCCUGGGAAACUGGGUCUAAUACUGGAUAGGACCAUGCUGUAGGUGGUGUGGUGGAAAGAUUAGUUUCGGUAAGGGAUGAGCUCGCGGCCUAUCAGCUUGUUGGUGGGGUAAUGGCCUACCAAGGCGUCGACGGGUAGCCGGCCUGAGAGGGUGGACGGCCACAUUGGGACUGAGAUACGGCCCAGACGACUACGGGAGGCAGCAGUGGGGAAUAGUGCACAAUGGGCGCAAGCCGGAUGCAGCGACGCCGCGUGGGGGAUGACGGCCUUCGGGUUGUAAACUCCUUUCAGCCAUGACGAAGCCCUUGUGGUGACGGUAGUGGUAGAAGAAGCACCGGCUAACUACGUG
RNAcentral lists this ribosomal RNA (469 nucleotides) under uncultured bacterium. RNAcentral's name for it is "partial 16S ribosomal RNA". It matches the Rfam family "Bacterial small subunit ribosomal RNA", at positions 28 to 507 of the family's 1533-position model. The record is from RNAcentral.